UCACUCUCUGACUAUUUAGUGAGCUCUUAGAUGCAGGUUGUUAAUGAAGUUGAUGUUCACAACAUAUUUCUUUCCUUAAGAGAGAAGAAAAAUAACCCAAAGGAUACUCCUCAUCACAGCUGCAUAUUGAAUAGCUGAGAACCAAAAUGAGUGGGUUCCUUCUCCUUGAGCUCAUUAUCAAAGCUUCACAAGCUUCAGUGGAACUGCACAGUCUGCAUCAGUAAGGGUAUGACUUGAGAUGGCCACAAGUACAAGCCUUGGCAUUGCAUAUAAUCAGGAUGGCACAGAGAAGUCCUGCCAAAAAGAGCUUGAUGAGGGCCCUUCAACAUCUUGUGCCUCAGUCCAUGAAGCCUACAUGUAGAGCAUUCACAUCUACUUCUGGAAUUAUCAUCAGGACCAUAUGUUUUGCCCUGCACUGAUAAGAUGUUCA
Long non-coding RNA from Oenanthe melanoleuca, 430 nucleotides. RefSeq lists it as uncharacterized. The transcript has 3 exons. The record is from RefSeq and is a predicted model, not a curated record. NCBI's taxonomy places the organism in Eukaryota, Metazoa, Chordata, Aves, Passeriformes, Muscicapidae.